AACCUAGCACACCUGCGGUGUGUACCUGCGGAAGGAUCAUUACCGAGUUUACAACUCCCAAACCCCUGUGAACAUACCACUCGUUGCCUCGGCGGAUCACCGCGCCCCGUGAAACGGGCCGGCCCGCCAGAGGACCUAAACUCAAAUGUUUUAUUGUAUCUUCUGAGUAAAAACACAAAUAAAUCAAAACUUUCAACAACGGAUCU
Molecule: unclassified non-coding RNA, 206 nt
Filed under: soil metagenome
Description: partial contains 5.8S ribosomal RNA, internal transcribed spacer 2, and large subunit ribosomal RNA
Source: RNAcentral